AGCAGCCGCGGUAAUUCCAGCUCCAAUAGCGUAUAUUAAAGUUGUUGCAGUUAAAAAGCUCGUAGUUGAAUUUCGGGAUCAAUACGUCGGUCGUGCCUUCGGUACGUACUGGCGUCAUUGGUUUCUCCCUUCUGACGAACCAUGAUGUCAUUAAUUUGGUGUUAUGGGAAGUUAGGACUGUUACUUCGAAAAAUUAGAGUGUUUAAAGCAGGCAUUAGCUUGAAUACAUUAGCAUGGAAUAAUGAAAUAGGACGUUUGACCCUAUUUUGUUGGUUUCUAGGAUCCACGUAAUGAUUAAUAGGGAUAGUUGGGGGCAUUAGUAUUCAAUUGUCAGAGGUGAAAUUCUUGGAUUUAUUGAAGACUAACUACUGCGAAAGCAUUUGCCAAGGAUGUUUUCAUUAAUCAAGAACAAAAGUUAGGGAAUCGAAGACGAUCAGAUACCGUCGUAGUCUUAACCAUAAACUAUGCCGACU
RNAcentral lists this ribosomal RNA (473 nucleotides) under uncultured Glomus. RNAcentral describes it as "SSU rRNA". It matches the Rfam family "Eukaryotic small subunit ribosomal RNA", at positions 569 to 1047 of the family's 1831-position model. The record is from RNAcentral. Lineage: Eukaryota; Fungi; Glomeromycota; Glomeromycetes; Glomerales; Glomeraceae.